RNAcentral lists this ribosomal RNA (346 nucleotides) under Uraeotyphlus sp. 'Red K2'. RNAcentral's name for it is "partial 12S small subunit ribosomal RNA". It matches the Rfam family "Bacterial small subunit ribosomal RNA", at positions 869 to 1384 of the family's 1533-position model. Lineage: Eukaryota; Metazoa; Chordata; Amphibia; Gymnophiona; Ichthyophiidae. The record is from RNAcentral.
CCGCCAGAAUAAUACGAGCAACCGCUUAAAACUUAAAGGACUUGGCGGUGCUCAACACCCCCCCAGAGGAGCCUGUUCUAUAAUCGACAACCCCCGCUUAACCUCACCACUCUUUGCAUCUACAGUCUAUAUACCUCCGUCUUCAGCUCACCCCCUGAGGGGAAACAAGUGAGUACAACCAGUCAACUAAAAACGUCAGGUCAAGGUGUAACAUAUAGGGUGGAAAGAAAUGGGCUCAUUUUCUUACUAAGAAAACACGGACGCACUAAUGAAAAAAGUGCUAGAAGGCGGAUUUGGUAGUAAAAAGAAACAAUCGAGUCCUUUUUAAACUGGCUCUUGAGCGCGC